GUGGGGAAUAUUGCGCAAUGGGGGAAACCCUGACGCAGCAACGCCGCGUGAUUGAAGAAGGCUUUCGGGUUGUAAACUUCUUUUACCAGGGACGAAACAAAUGACGGUACCUGGUGAAUAAGCCCCGGCUAACUCCGUGCCAGCAGCCGCGGUAAGACGGAGGGGGCAAGCGUUGUUCGGAAUUAUUGGGCGUAAAGGGCUCGUAGGCGGAUCUGUAGGUCUGGCGUGAAAUCUCCACCGCUUAAAGGGGAGCUGCCGCUGGAUACUGCAGAUCUGGAGUUCGGUAGAGGAUCGUGGAAUUUCGGGUGUAGCGGUGGAAUGCGUAGAUAUCCGAAAGAACACCAGUGGCGAAGGCGACGAUCUGGGCCUGAACUGACGCUGAGGAGCGAAAGCUAGGGGAGCAAACGGGAUUAGAAACCCUAGUAGUCC
RNAcentral lists this ribosomal RNA (429 nucleotides) under uncultured bacterium. RNAcentral's name for it is "partial 16S ribosomal RNA". It matches the Rfam family "Bacterial small subunit ribosomal RNA", at positions 354 to 796 of the family's 1533-position model. The record is from RNAcentral.